This 451-nucleotide ribosomal RNA is filed under the name uncultured bacterium. RNAcentral describes it as "partial 16S ribosomal RNA". It matches the Rfam family "Bacterial small subunit ribosomal RNA", at positions 354 to 796 of the family's 1533-position model. The record is from RNAcentral.
GUGGGGAAUAUUGGACAAUGGGGGGAACCCUGAUCCAGCCAUGCCGCGUGUGUGAAGAAGGCCUUUUGGUUGUAAAGCACUUUAAGCGAGGAGGAGGCUACCGAGAUUAAUACUCUUGGAUAGUGGACGUUACUCGCAGAAUAAGCACCGGCUAACUCUGGGCCAGCAGCCGCGGUAAUACAGAGGGUGCAAGCGUUAAUCGGAUUUACUGGGCGUAAAGCGCGCGUAGGUGGCCAAUUAAGUCAAAUGUGAAAUCCCCGAGCUUAACUUGGGAAUUGCAUUCGAUACUGGUUGGCUAGAGUAUGGGAGAGGAUGGUAGAAUUCCAGGUGUAGCGGUGAAAUGCGUAGAGAUCUGGAGGAAUACCGAUGGCGAAGGCAGCCAUCUGGCCUAAUACUGACACUGAGGUGCGAAAGCAUGGGGAGCAAACAGGAUUAGAUACCCGGGUAGUCC